RNAcentral lists this long non-coding RNA (525 nucleotides) under Felis catus (domestic cat). RNAcentral's name for it is "lncRNA (ENSFCAG00000041302.2)". The record is from RNAcentral. Lineage: Eukaryota; Metazoa; Chordata; Mammalia; Carnivora; Felidae.
CUGGGCUGCCCCUCCGGGUGUCCAUGAGUCACAGAGCCGCUCCAGAAACUCCUGGUCCCGCUCCGGGCUGAGAAGAGAGUUCCGUUCACAACAAAGAAAUUCCGGGGAAGCGGGAGCCCCAGCGGCUGACAACGCAUACAAGUGAUUGCAGAGCACUCCCCUCGGACUUCUGUUGGAACUUCUAGCACACUGAAUUUGCUUUCGCAGUUCGACGUCCCUGCUGGAGUGUGAGCCCAUUGUGACCCUCACCGCCGGUCGUGCCUUUCACACGAACGAGGUUCUCCGUGGGACCUGGCGGUGGCCCUGUGGGACAGAGCACCCUCCCUGGAGGGGCACCAAGGCUGUAUGGACCCCCCUCGGCCCCCUUAUUCUGGGUCAUCUCCCUGAGGUACCACAGAUAAGUCCCGAAGAUCCCCCUUUCCCAAAGAGCCUUUUCCCGGAACGCUAAUGUUUUGUUUUGUUUUGUUUGUUUUUUUGUUUUUUUGAGGAAAAAAGUUCUGUGGCGAAAUAAACUGAGAAAGUGGG